This 230-nucleotide long non-coding RNA is filed under the name Panicum hallii. RNAcentral describes it as "long non-coding RNA (PHAL_LNC000430)". Lineage: Eukaryota; Viridiplantae; Streptophyta; Magnoliopsida; Poales; Poaceae. The record is from RNAcentral.
AACAUUCCAUAUGAUCAUGGUGUACAGGCAGGGCCCAAGAAUAUUUCUGGAGAAUACAUUACUGGGAACAUGCCAGCAUAUAUAUAUAUCAAGUCAUCAGAUCCGAUCUAACUCUUCUAUCAUUGCCAUCCUACAUCACGAUCUCUUUUUUUCUCUUGCAAGGACGUAGUACUAACUAGCUAUAUCCGGAUAACAUGCUAGCUGUUCUAUUUUAUCCAUGCGUCUCGCCU